GAGGCUGCCGUGGCACUUACUGAGCGAACCAU
RNAcentral lists this non-coding RNA (32 nucleotides) under Geobacter sulfurreducens KN400. The record is from RNAcentral. Lineage: Bacteria; Pseudomonadati; Thermodesulfobacteriota; Desulfuromonadia; Geobacterales; Geobacteraceae.